UGGAAGAGUUUGAUCCUGGCUCAGAGCGAACGCUGGCGGCAGGCCUAACACAUGCAAGUCGAACGAACUCUUCGGAGUUAGUGGCGGACGGGUGAGUAACACGUGGGAACGUGCCUUUAGGUUCGGAAUAACUCAGGGAAACUUGUGCUAAUACCGAAUGUGCCCUUCGGGGGAAAGAUUUAUCGCCUUUAGAGCGGCCCGCGUCUGAUUAGCUAGUUGGUGAGGUAAAGGCUUACCAAGGCGACGAUCAGUAGCUGGUCUGAGAGGAUGAUCAGCCACAUUGGGACUGAGACACGGCCCAAACUCCUACGGGAGGCAGCAGUGGGGAAUCUUGCGCAAUGGGCGAAAGCCUGACGCAGCCAUGCCGCGUGAAUGAUGAAGGUCUUAGGAUUGUAAAAUUCUUUCACCGGGGACGAUAAUGACGUACCCGGAGAAGAAGCCCC
RNAcentral lists this ribosomal RNA (443 nucleotides) under Brevundimonas sp. RNAcentral's name for it is "bacterial SSU rRNA". It matches the Rfam family "Bacterial small subunit ribosomal RNA", at positions 1 to 494 of the family's 1533-position model. The record is from RNAcentral. Lineage: Bacteria; Pseudomonadati; Pseudomonadota; Alphaproteobacteria; Caulobacterales; Caulobacteraceae.